RNAcentral lists this ribosomal RNA (428 nucleotides) under uncultured bacterium. RNAcentral describes it as "bacterial SSU rRNA". It matches the Rfam family "Bacterial small subunit ribosomal RNA", at positions 355 to 774 of the family's 1533-position model. The record is from RNAcentral.
UGGGGAAUAUUGGGCAAUGGGCGCAAGCCUGACCCAGCGACGCCGCGUGAGGGAAGAAGGCCCUCGGGUCGUAAACCUCUGUCAGGAGGGAAGAAGUGGUUAAUUCUUAACAGGAAUUUUCCUUGACGGUACCUCCAGAGGAAGCACCGGCUAACUCCGUGCCAGCAGCCGCGGUAAUACGGAGGGUGCAAGCGUUAUUCGGAAUUACUGGGCGUAAAGCGCGCGUAGGCGGCCUGGAAAGUCAGAUGUGAAAGCCCUCGGCUAAACCGAGGAAUUGCAUUUGAAACUUUCAGGCUAGAGUGCGGGAGAGGGUAGCGGAAUUCCCGGUGUAGGAGUGAUAUCCGUAGAUAUCGGGAGGAACACCAGUGGCGAAGGCGGCUACCUGGACCGCAACUGACGCUGAGGUGCGAAAGCGUGGGUAGCAAACA